RNAcentral lists this long non-coding RNA (1104 nucleotides) under Marmota monax (woodchuck). Lineage: Eukaryota; Metazoa; Chordata; Mammalia; Rodentia; Sciuridae. The record is from RNAcentral.
UUUUUCUUUCAGAACUUGGCCUAUAACCUUUGACCAGAUAGAAUUUGAACCCUUCUCACUAUGAUCAGUAUUUUUUUUUGUCUUACCUUUAGCUUUCAUAGGUUAAACUUGGAAAAACUAUUUGUUAUGAUCUCAGAAAUGUCACUGUCCCCCUCUUCUCUCUCACUGGUGUUAACUGCUAUGCACCUGGUAUAGUUCACCUGUAUUACUCACACAAGUGGUAGAUUUGAACCAAAGCCUCAGAAUUCUAUCUUUCUUCCUUCCCGAUGCUUCCCACUCUUAAAAGUAAAGAAAUUGCAGUACAGAUUAUUUAGUAGAGCUAGGCUUUGUCAAUACACGGGAUCAAAUCCCCAAGGUUUUGUCCUUGGUCACAUUUUCAAUAUGUAGAUGGGUGGUAAUGAAAUGAAAUUAUUUCCUGCUUUCCUAAAGGCUUUCCAGUCAUAGUUUAAUAACAGGGACUCAGGCUGAUUUUGCAAGAGCACUGACUUCACUUGGGUCUGCAGAUGUCUAGACCACUGAGUAGCAUCAAAAGUCACUGCCCUAAACCUGACAGAAUUAGCACUAUCCUGCUUUUCUGACCUGUUCUUUUCUCUGAGUUAUUCUCUCCUGUAGUCGUUUUGGAUUCCAGGAACAACAGAUCUGAUUGACAUCUUGUGUUGAGUUGAAACAGCAACUUUCUUACUGCUGCUGAUAAGGACCUCCUUGGCCAAUCCUGACAUAAUGAUCAACCAGACCACAGUUUGACCGAUGCUGGUGGAUAAUGCCCUCUGGACUAUAUAGGAUAGGCCCUCUGGCCUAUAUAAUCUGGGAGCUCAUGUCAGUACUCCCAGAGACAGGGCUGAGGAUGCUGGAUCCCCCUUGUAUUCUCAAUACAGCUCUAUGGAAUAAAUUCCUUUUGUGCAUUUCAUCAUUCCAUUUGGUUUCUGGGGUGAAUGGCUAGACCAAAUUCACUGGGACCCCCAGAGUUGGGCAUCCGGCUUAGAACUCCCGUUACAGCUUUGUAACCCAAGAGUGUCACUCUAUUUUGAGUAAAUUCUCAAGUUAAGAGUGAUUUUUAAAAUGUCCUUUCAUUUAAACAGUAAGUACUGUCCUACAAUACUUGAG